ACGCUCGACACCUACGGGAGGCAGCAGUGGGGAAUAUUGCACAAUGGGGGAAACCCUGAUGCAGCGACGCCGCGUGAAGGAAGAAGUAUCUCGGUAUGUAAACUUCUAUCAGCAGGGAAGAAAGUGACGGUACCUGACUAAGAAGCCCCGGCUAACUACGCACCAGCAGCCGCGGUAAUCUGAGCGGGCUGGCAAGGC
RNAcentral lists this ribosomal RNA (198 nucleotides) under uncultured bacterium. Its description in RNAcentral is "partial 16S ribosomal RNA". It matches the Rfam family "Bacterial small subunit ribosomal RNA", at positions 328 to 539 of the family's 1533-position model. The record is from RNAcentral.